UUACAUGACUCGGGGUGCCCUGGUUUCAACCACAGGGCUGAGAAAUACCCGCAUUACCUGAUCUGGAUUAUGCCAGCGUAGGGAAGUCACGGUAUGCCGAC
This 101-nucleotide non-coding RNA is filed under the name Brenneria sp. Its description in RNAcentral is "TPP sequence". It matches the Rfam family "TPP riboswitch aptamer (THI element)". From Rfam's summary of the family: Vitamin B(1) in its active form thiamin pyrophosphate (TPP) is an essential coenzyme that is synthesised by coupling of pyrimidine and thiazole moieties in bacteria. The previously detected thiamin-regulatory element, thi box was extended, resulting in a new, highly conserved RNA secondary structure, the THI element, which is widely distributed in eubacteria and also occurs in some archaea. Analysis of operon structures identified a large number of new candidate thiamin-regulated genes, mostly transporters, in various prokaryotic organisms. Lineage: Bacteria; Pseudomonadati; Pseudomonadota; Gammaproteobacteria; Enterobacterales; Pectobacteriaceae. The record is from RNAcentral.